ACCUUCAACCUGGAUGCCAUCUUGAAGCCCCUCAAUAAAGCUUUGAAGGUCCAAAGAUUCUCCACUAAUGUCUUUACAAUACAUAGAGUAUCAUCAGCAUAUUGAAGAUGAGAUAUCACCAUCCCUUCCCUCCUAAAAUGGAACCUUCAAAUAAAUUUAGCCGCACAACAUUUCUCAUCAACCCACUAAAACCUUCCGCAACCGGAGAGAAACAAAAACAAGCGGAUCCACUUGCUUAAGCCCUUUUUGAAUAUUAAUUUCCUCUGUUAAGCUUCCAUUCACAAGGAUAGACAUACUCCCCCCAAACACACAACCCUUCAUCCACCUCACCCAUUACGCACAAAACCCCACUCUAAGCAACAUAUAAUCCAAAAAACUCCAAUCCACCGAGUCAUAUGCAUUUUCAAAGUCCGCCUUUAAAAUCAAACACUCACUCUUUGUUUUCUUCGCAGAAUCCACCAACUCAUUAACCACCAAAACACCGUAAACUAAGUUCCUACCUUUAAUAAAAGCCGAUUUGGAAGACGAAAUAAUUGAAUCCAUAACCUUGGUCAACCUCCUAGCAAGCACCUUUGAGAGAGAAAUUUAUAGAGACAAUCGCGCAAGGAAAUUGGUCUAAAAUCCUUUAAAUUCAACGGGGAAUUAAUUUUUUAUUAAGGCCACGAAAUAUGCCAACAAACUCUUCGGCACAACCUCAUUAGCAUGGAAUUGAUGAAACAUAAUUCUAAUCUCAUUCUUCAACAAGUACCAAAACUCCUUUACAAAUGCAAAAUUAAAACCAUUCGGCUCCGAACUGUUAUUAUCAUCACAAUCCUUCACUACCUCCUCAAUCUCAUAUAUUUAUGGCAGACUUAUCUUCUAUAUUUACAUUCAAGUAUCUUUGAUUGUUAAUCAGUAACUCAGCUUAAUUUUACAGAGUUAUAUAUUUAAUGAUAUUUGUUAAGAUAGAGGUAGAGAAAAAGAGUAAGAAAUGAAGAUAUCAUUCCAUAGAUAUGAAACUCUAUUAAAUUGACCUCUAAUAAGGUGGCAAUUAGGUUUCAGAUGUUGAUUUUGUCAUACUAAUUUGGCUCCUAAUCACUCUAUAUAUUUAUUGAUGCUCAUUUCUUUUUCUGCUUUAGUCUUGGAAUUUUUCUACGUGAUUGGAGACUAUAUAAAAACUUUUGUUUCAACCAGGUUGAAAUCCUCGUGGAUUUGUCUAUUGAAUGAAUUUGCUUUUAAUGUAGAAGUAAAUAAAUCAGAUAAAUUCAAGAAAUAUAUAAAAGAAAUAUUCAAUCAAGUGGUGUUUUGAAUACAUGUUUAUCACUUUUGCUCUUUGAACAAUACAUCAAGUUAAUAAGAUGAUAUGGUGGUUUGAAUGAAGGAACAUAAGGAUUAGUCACAUUUUUCAUUAAAAAUAACAAAUACAUCAAGUUAAUUAAGGAGGUUUGAUUAUUUUUGUGCAAGAUAAAGUCUUAAGAAAGCAACUUCUAAAGUGUUGGCGAAAGAGAAAUAAAUCUUCCACCAAACAAGUAAAGUCCAACCUCACAAGUUAAUAUAUAUCUCAUCUAACCAACCAUUUAUUGACACGUUAUACCUUACUAUGCUUGUAAUCUUCACUUUAAAUAUUCUCUUAUAUUAUAUGUCAUAACCCUUAUUAUAAGCUAUAGUUUGCGUUUAGGCCACAACCAAAUAAUUUAAUGAAGGCAAUGAUAUCUUAGCUUUCCCUCAUCAUAUUAUUGAUCUUGCUUCUUCAUUGCUAAGACCAAAAUGAGAGGAAAUUAAAGGAACCUAUUCUUUAAACAAGGCAUGCCUUCUUUUAAUAAUUACUUUCAACACCCCCACCUUCUCCUUCUCUUUCACAACCAUGGAAGAAGAUUGGAACAUGCUUGCUGCUGAUUGUGUUGUCAUAUCAUGCUGCUGCCAAUGCUUGGUUCUGCAAAUUCUUGUGCUUGUAUUGCGAAAGAUGGUGAGAAAAACAAGAGAAUAUGGUAAGAAAAUAUUUUGUCAAAGGAAGGGGAAUUAUAGAGGGGUGCAAAGAGAAAUGGGGUCUUAUAAAGAUGUGGUUUUGAGAAUUCAAGAAGAUUAUGCACUAAAAGAUGAUGAUGUACACAAUUGUGGUUGUUGUAUGGUUGAAGUUGAGAAAGUAAUGGAGGAACUUUGUGAGAAAGGAGAGUUUGGAUUUGGAAGCUUUUGGGGUAGGAAAGAGCCAUGGGGUUUUCCUCAAGUUGUUAAUGAUCAUUAUGAUGAUAGUUUUGUAAGAUAUCAAAUAAUUGAUUUGGGACCAACAUAGUGUGACGGUUGAUAGAUAACUGAAUCUCUUAAGCAUGUGGUAAUUAGUUCGAUCUUUAGUUGAUAUGUAUAGAAGAGUAUUUGUUGAGAGAUCUCAACCAUUUAAAUGAAUCUUCGUACUUUAGAAAAUUAAAUGAUUUGGUUGGUUCCUUCAGCUAUGCUUAACAUUGCCACAUAUAUACAAAAAAAGAUUAUUCUAGUUACCAAGGAUGCAACUCGUACUUCACAAAUUAGUGGGACCAAAUCUUACUAUAUCAAUGUGAAAAAUGUGUUGAUAUUCUUCAAGUCUUAAGGUUAAUUAUGAUCUUGAUAAUCCUUAUGAUAUUUUUGUAUGAUUUUUUUGGGCUAAUUAUGUUUGGACUCAUAUAUACCUCGUUGCGUAAAUAAUCAUGAAACGUGCGGCAUCAAAUAAGUGUAGAAAAUAUUUUCUUAAAAAUAAAAAGGUUAAUAGUGUUUUUCACCCCUGUAAUAUAGGUCAUUUUCGGUUUGAUUUGCAUCCUUGUAAAACUAUUUUUUUCGGAAAACACAUCUCCCCCAUAUGACUGUGCAUAUUUGCUGACGCGGUACAUUGUGUGGCAUGCUGACUGUAUAAUUAUUUUUAUAAGGGUACACGUGGCAUUUGUGCCUUUUUUUUAAAAAAAAUAUAAUAUAAAUUAAUUUAGAAAUAAAAAUAAUUUGAAAAUAAAAAAAUUCAGGAAAUUUUUUAUUACGAAAAAUAUUUUCCAAAUUUCAUAUUUUUUGCUUAAAAAAUGAACUUUUUUAUUUCAAAAAUUUCGUAAAAAAAAUGAUUUUUUUCUAAAAUUUUAGAAAAAAAAAUCUGAAUUUUUUCUAAAUUGUAUCCAGAUUUUUAAAAAUAAAAUAUUUUCCAGAUUUUUUUUCGAAAAAAAAAAUCUGAAUUUUUUUUUAUAAAUUUCGAAUUUGUUUUUCCUAAUUUUAAAUUUUUUUAUUUUUGAAAAUUAAACUCCAGAAUCUUUAAAAAAAAAAAUUUUGAAAUAAAAAAACAAAUAUUUUUUCUGAUUUUUUAAUAUUCGAAUUUCGGAAAAAAUCUUAUCGUUUUUUGUGAUUUUUUAUUUUUUGGAUUUUAAUUUUUUUUGGAAAAAAAUCUAAAUUUUUUUCUGAUUUUUGAAAAUUAUUUUUCAAAUAUUAAAAAUAAAUAAAAUUUUUUAAAAAAAAGCCAAGUAAGCGCCACAUAUGCACAUUUGAUGAGUUGGAUGGAGGAGGGGUAUUUUCCGGAAAAAAAAAAGUUUUACAAGGAUUCAAAUCAAACCAAAAAUUUUAUAGGAGCGAAAAUCAGAAAUGACCUAUAUUACAGGGGUGAAAAACACUAUUAACCCAAAAAAAAAAACAAGAGGAUAGGAAUGAAAUUGGUGCGAUGCAAUUUUUAGAUGAAAUGUGUUAGUUUAAAUAAUUGCAAACCUAAUAAAACAAAUGAGCGGGAAAAAAUUAGGUUAAAUUGAUGCAUACGUAACAAAAUUAAUAAAUAAGAAUUUCGGUAAAAGAAAUAUUAUUUUUAAAGUUCAAAAAUUAUUUUAAAAAAUAAAACCGAAUUGGGUUGGGUUGGGUUGCGAAUUAUGUCAAUUUUCACAACUCUUUAAAAUUAUGCAAGGUAGAUGAUCAACCACAACAUUUUCAUGAUAAAAACAGUCAAACUAUAUCGGUUAACUACAUCACAUUAAAAAACUGUUUUAGAAUUACAACAUAUGGUAUGAUUACCACUCAAAAUUGAAAGGGGCAGGAAAAAAACGGUGAGAAGAGUAAAAAAAGUUUCAAAAACUUCAAAGCCUUAAAGGUAUCCCAGAUGAACUAAGCAUGGCCUCUAUUUAGAGGGACUUCGCAACCGAAAUGGGGAAAAUAAUAUGGAGCAUUAAAGGAAGCGGACAAAUUGUGCACGCAAAAACCGAAGAGAUAAGUGCACAUGUUUAAAAUUAAUUUGAAACCAUUUGAUUUGGUUUAGUGGUGUUGACAUGGGACAUUGUUUUACUCUUAAGAGACGUUGUUUUACUCUUAAGAUUUCACGUUCGAUUUCCCAAACUUUGUUCUGACUUAAAAUGUGGGUCUCGCAAGUGGAUGGCAGGAUUUGAUCCCUUGGAUUAGUCAGUCAUUGAUUUGGAUACCGAGCUUUAAAAAAAAUAUAAUAAAUUUAUUUUUAACAUUUUCUGGUAGCUGAAAAUCUGUAAUAUAAAAUUCACAUAAAUAAUCUUCAUGAGUUUAGCUCAGUUGACAUUGCAUAUUAUAUGUAGAGAUUGGGGUUCGAAUCUCAGACACGUCACUUCUCCACAUUUAAAAUAUGUGAAUUCUAACUACUACACUACUUGACAAAAAAAAUCACACAAAUUCACAUAUAUUUUUAGGCAUGCACAAAUUCAUCUUAGACAAAUAUAUUACUACUAAUUAAUUUCUUCGUGUAGUCAACAUCUAUUGACCAAUAAUUUUUAGACCCAUUCUUUUUUGGAGAAUGCUAACCGGCAUCUUAAAUGCAAUGAUUAAGCAUCUAAAACAAGUAAGUUUUCAUUCCAAGAUAAAAAAUUUAUUUAUAGAUUUCUUAAUCAUUACUCUGAAGGCACGGGUUAACAAGACCUUAUUUAUUUUAAUGGACAAAAUAACAAUAAUCAUUCAAGAUUCUCACAUAUAAAUAAUGAGUAAAAGUUCGAACCCCAAUAACAAAAUUCAAAUUACCAAUUUAGUACUUUUUGUCUUAUUAAAAAAAAUUGGUACUUUUUGGUAGUUAAGUUAGGAUGUGUGUGGAAUUUUCAGACCCAAUUCUUCAUAGUAAGUAUGACCUCUAAACUAAAUUGACGGCGGAACAACCAUAUUAAUGUUAGCAAAUGGACAUAAUUUACCCCUAGUCCAAAUUUUUUACCUAAACAUAGCUCUUUCCACGCAAAGGAAUGAAGAAUGUUCCCAACAAAAUUGGUGAAAAGAAAAUAACUCAUCCAAUCCAUGACCAUGAUUCAUCCUUGACUUGCGUUAUCAUAAUAAUAUUCAUUUAUCACCAAAAUUCGGUUUUAUUACUAUGCAUUUAUGAUUAAACCAACCGAGACGCGUUUUCUCUCAAGCCUUUGAACCAUUCCAAUUUACCAAUCAAAUAUAUCAUUAUCACACCUAGCACAUCAUAACAAUACACCCAAUUCAAACCCUACAUACAUUAUCUCCAUCAUCACCAAGCAAAACAAACAAAAAAAGAAACCACCUUUCAAAAACAUCAAAACCAAAACAUUAACAUUAACAAAAACAAAAAAACAUUUGAUCUAUCUAUAAGUUUUCUCUCCUCCUCAAGGCCUAGGCCUUCACCAACCUACCACCAUGUCAAUGCUCCAAACCGAUGAUCAAAUCAAACAAUUAAACGACAUAUUCAAGCGUUUUGACAUGGAUUCCGACGGCAGCCUAACCCACCUCGAGCUCGCGGCACUCCUCCGCUCCCUCGGCAUCAAACCAACAGGCGAUGAACUUUAUGCCCUACUCAACAACAUGGACAACAAUCACAACGGAUACAUCGAAUUCGACGAGCUUGUUAAUGCUAUUAUGCCCGACAUGAAUGAGGAUGUUCUCAUCAAUCAAGAACAACUUUUGGAGGUUUUUCGCUCGUUUGAUCGCGAUGGUAACGGUUACAUCACCGCGGCUGAGCUUGCCGGAUCCAUGGCAAAGAUGGGCCAUCCUCUAACAUACCAUGAGCUUGCUAACAUGAUGGCUGAAGCUGAUAGCAAUGGUGAUGGUGUUAUUAGUUUCAAUGAGUUUGCUACCAUUUUGGCUAAAUCAGCUGCUGAUUUUCUUGGUGUUAAGGUGCACUAGAUAUAUGAUUAAUCAACCUUCUUGAUGAAAGUUAAAUCAUGGAGUUUUAUUUCUGAAAACUUUUAUUGUUUUUUUUUUCUAAUUGUUAUUAGGUUAUUGGUGUUAAGGAGGAAGAAAAAGAUUAAAAAAAAUUGUCGAACCAUAAAAAAGAAUUGAAAAACAAUUAAAUAUGUUUGACAUGAAAGUUGACUACUAAUUGUUGUAAUGUAAUUUGUAUAUAUCUAAUCAGUUUUUGUGAAUGCAGUUGUUAUUGAUCUAAAUUUGUUAAUUAGAAUUUAGAAAUGAAUGGGACGGUUUCUUUGUUAUUUACUAGAGUUUAUUGUUUGUUUUUCAACUUGCUAGAGUUUUGAAGACUUUUCAUGCAUACAAGUAGAUGAAAUAUAUAUAAUUGAUAAUUGACUAAUAUAUGAUUGAAAUAUAUAAAUAUCGAAAAAGUAGAUGAAAUAUAUGAUUGACUUUGAAGACUUUUCAUGCAUACAAGCAGAUGAAAUAUAUAUAAUAUAUAAUUGACUAAUAAAGAGAGGAUGAAACAAGGGACUCUCAACAUCAACGAGUGAGGUUUUCAUCGGACUCUCUUCAGUUUUAAUUUUCAUCCUUAAAUGUAUCUUAUCCCUUUUUUCUCUUUCUCUCUCAUUGCGGAUGAAAAUUUCUUGGACACUAAUGUCACAGGAGACAAUCCUCUCCCGUGUUACACAAUGAGGAAAUGAAUUAUUUUUUUGGGGAAAGGAAACAAAUUAAACAAUUCUUUUGUUCCCUUAUGAAAUUUGAUUCUUGAAAUGAUUGAUAAAAUUGUAAAAUUUUAAUCUAUCCGUUUUUGUUAGUAUUUGUAAGGACUAGAAGGAUAUUAAGUUGUGGGCUUUGCCUUCUUUUUGAAAAGAAAAAAAAUGAUAUUAAUAUGAUAAAUGCAUUUCAUAUUACAUUGAAACAAAGAGAUUUUCCGUAGAUUAGAUUAGAUUGAUCUAGUUGGUAAGAAAUUUGUUUAUAUCCCUUUAAGAGAGGAGUUCGGUAUGCUCCAUUUAGAUAAUGGAGCAUAAAUAAGAGGGAGUGGGGGAAGUUGUGAUUGACGAUGGUGGAUGGAGUUUGACGGUGGUAGGCGAUUAGAGAAAGAGGGAGCAAAUAAACACUUGUUUUUUAAUUUUAGAUCUCAUCCAUUAAAUAUUUUGUCGCCGCCUGUAACCACAAUCUUCAUUACGAAUAUUGGUCGUUUGAGGAUAAUAUGUAAGCACUUUUAAGUUUUGAGGUCUAUUAUGUUUUUUGUGAGCUCUUGGAUCCAACUUAUCUAAACUUUUCUUUAUAUAAAGAAAAAAAAUAAAAACAGAUUGAUGAAUACUUAUUCCGCUUUGGAUCUUCUAAAACAGAAAUUUCAUAGGGACCUUCAAAGCUAAUUUUCCAUCCCAUGAUUCUUAAAAACAGCACUUGUCCCAAAUUACCCAUCUAAACGAACGACAAACACCUUUUUUUUUAUCUAAUUUACCGAUCAAAAUGCGAGAAAAUGAUAUUUUAUUAUAGUUCAAAUUGGUAAAUUCAAAGGGUGUGAAUUUUUAUUUUUAAAUGGUAGAGGGUAGAAGUAGCUCCCUCAAAUGAAAUAGUAAAUUUAUUUAUUUAUUUUUAUCAAAAUAUUUCAUUAGAUUUUGUUUGCGAGUUUGUAGGGGGAGACUUGGAAAAAAAGGAAUGAGCAAGUGGAAAAAAAUAGGGAAAAAUGAAAGGGGAGGGCUUUGUGGGUUAACUUUUCAUCAUAAUACCAAACCCUCCUCAUAUGGGAUAACUAAAAAAAUGUAUUGGGGGAGGGUUUAUAUGAAUUCUUCAAAAUUAAUCUAUGUUGUUAUAUUAUUUUUAAAAUUAAAAAUAUAGUAAUCAUAUGCAUUAAUUUAUCAUUCUCUAAAAAACUACACUUUUAAAAAAUUUGAAAGAUUUCUUCAUUUUCCCUCGUAUUUUCCACCCCUCAAAGCCUUUCCUUCCCCUUCCCUCCAAACUCGCAAACAAAGCCUUAGUUUCCUUAACCUAUGUGUUCUUAGUCCAAUGUGUAGUGAUCCCAUUUGAAAAUGGAAGGUUUUGAAGUAUAAAAGAGUCCUUGGGGCAUGCGCAUGCCUGCCCAAAGGCACAAAACACCCUAAACCCAUGAUUCAUGAAUAGGAAGUUUGUGAUCAGCUUAUAAUAGAAAGACGGUAGUUCAUUGACAAAGUUGAUUUUGAUCCAUCAACAUGAACACUAAUGUCCCAAAUUAACAAAGCUUUAGUUUCAAUGAUAAUAAUAUCACACAGUAAUAACUCACCAAGUUAAUUAACAGCAAGUGGCAUCAUGAAAUCUUGUAGUUUUUCUUUUCAAUUUCAGUAAUCAAGCAAAUGUUGUAAAUGUCUUCAUUGUUAUAGUUACAAAUCUAGGAACUCUUCCUAAGCAUGAAAAUACAAGAUCAAAGAAAAUUUAGAAACUUUAGGUGUAUGGUAUCAUGUAAUUCAACCACAAUAUGAUUGAAAUCUGGUGACAUACAUCUAAAAACAAUAUACAGCAACUAACAGUGCAGAUUAAACCCAAUGUUAGUCAUUUUUAAUUUGAUGCAGUACUAAGACAGAGAGAAUGGAUUUAGGGUGAGAGGUGAGAGUACACACCUUAUAUAAAUAAUGAUAUACAUCUCAUUCAAAUUUAAGUUGACACAUUCCUGAGGUCCUUGGCACAUCAGAUAAUGUUUUUGAGAAUGUCGUGCUUCUUCUUUAGGUCCAAUGAACUAUCAGCAGUAAUCAUCAUUGUCUCUAAAACGAGUCCUUUUUGCAAAACAAGCUCAACAAAUGACACCUCAUCUGGAAAUCCUUGAAAUUCUUUAAAUUGAAUAAAGGUAAGGUGGGAUACGAGACAAUUAGGAACACUUGGCAGUGGAAGGUGCAAUAUUCAACUUUCAACUAACUAUUGGGGAAAGACAUCAAGAUACGCUUCCACGACUUUGUGUAAGUUGUACAUGCUGAAAUCCUGGCCAAAUGUGAUUCGGGUAAUGUUAAGGUACUCAAGAUCAGGCGCAUUUAUUUCAAGGUAAACCCCAACUUCAUCAUCCUCAUUGGCAAUUUCCAACCUUCUUAAGGAAGGUGGGACACAAACUUUGUCCAAGCUUUGCGGAGAAAAACUAAGAUUAGAGGAAGUCUACAUUCAGGGACUAAAUUGACUAACAAAGUCUGCAUUCAGGGACUAAAUUGAAUAACAAAGUCUACAUUCAGGGACUAUUUUGACGAUUUCUUAGCUACUAACGUGACUAAUCUCCAAGAAAAGAAAACAAUUAGUUCAACGUUAUGCAUGCAUGCAUGCCUGAGGUGAUACGAGGUUAGAGGAAGUGAAGCUGAGGUAGGUUGAAACAAAAAAAUUAACUUUCUUUUUUUCCUUCAAACAAAAAAAUUAACUUUUUUUUUUUUGAGAGGAGAUUUUAAAUAACUUUAUUAUUUUGAAUAUACUUUUGAAGAUAUGUUUGAGUAGGUAUUUUGAAAAUUAAAUGAUACUCUUCUGUCCCAGGUUAAGUGAGUUAUUGUGAAAUAUAAAUAUAUAAAGGUGCAAAGAAUCAUAUGAUGGCACUAAAAUGAAAUUCUCAAGAACACAUGAUAACACUGUUCUAUUCUUUACAAAAGAAAACAGCUCUAUCCCAUCCCAUCCUAUAAAUAACUCUUGCUUUUAUAUAUACAGCAACUGCUUCUAUCUUUGACCAAAAAAAAAGUAACUGCUUCUAUCUGUAAUGCAAAAGAAGGUAUAUGAAACCUAUGUAACCUUAAAAAAGCCAAAUCAGAUCUACAGUCCUACUUUCCUUAAAAAAGCCAAAUGUAGGUUGUUAUGCACAAUGGAUGGGAAUCUAAGCAGCAUAUUCUUCUAGUUGGGAUGAGCUGCCAAGAAAUUCCAUCAUGACUAUGUGCAAAGACAAAUACCAUUUUCAAGAGCCUAUGCACAGACUACGUGAUUUCAUGACCGAAACAAUAAUAUAUCAAAAUAUAUUAUCUAUGUUUAAUAAUUUUGUCCGACAAUUGGUUUGCCUUGGCAGCUAAGCGAGCAGUUGAACCGACAGUCAUUGGCUGCAAUGAUAUUUGCCGGACCAUAGCACAGUACUCAGGAUCCUCAGUCUUCCCUUCAUACCUUAUCCACUGUACCAUUUCGUGAUACAUUGGAAAGAACCGCAUCUGAAUUGCUUUGUAUGAGAAGUAUGGUAUAAGAGUUGAGAUCACCACAAAGAAUGUGACUAUCCAAUAGGAAGACGAAGGAGCAAGAGCUUCAACGAAGACUGCGUAAGCGUUUUCCGAAAACCUUGGAGGAAGUGAUCCAUAGAUUAUGAGAAAAAUGUACCAGAAGAAAAUGGAACCCCAGAUGAAAAAAUGUUGGAUCAAGGUGAAGUAACUUAUAGAUAAUGCCAUUUGCAAGUUUACAACCCAAACUACGCAAGUGUACAUGGUUGUUCCAAGUAUUUCUCUUCCGGCAGUAUUUCCCUCGUGAUCAAAAGCUUGGAGCUCCAUGGCUUUGGUGCAGAAGAAGAAAAUUAAUAAGGCGCUAAAGAAUCCGUUAAGCAUCCAGCUGAGUACUCGACGCCAGCUGAAAAGGACAUUUUGCACUCCUUCUUGAUAUAACAAAGGAAACUUGAGGCAGUACCGAGCAGAUACGUCUUGGUCGAAUACACCAAGAGCGACCACAGGAAGUGAUGAAAAGAAGACGUUAUAGAGAGCUAAAAACCAGUCGUUGUAUGCAGGUUCUCCGGAGAAUGAUGCAUACACCUCAUACAAGAAUAGAGUGAAACCAAAUGUGACAUUCUUGUAGAAAAAAUAGCAUAUCUGUCAGAAUAAACAAUUAACACGUUAACAGAAUACCAAACAGUCAGUCAGAGGAACUUCACUAUAAUCUAGAGAUCCAAUUAUAGGCACAGUAAUAUUAAUACCAUCGAUGAGAUCCUCCGGUAACACCAAUGGCCGUGCACCAGAAGUAAUCGUUCCAAAUAUCGGAAUUGUGCAAUUGCAAUAUCACUAGACAUAACAGCCUGUGGAAUUAGAAGGGGAAAAAAGAUAAUGUUGUUUAGAAUAAAGAAAAAAGUAAAAUUCAAUGAAAAAAACAUGAAUAUUGUGUGAAUUUAUGCAGCACCUGCAUUCCUUCAACACCACUUAUACCAACUCCGAUAUCAGCUUCUUGAAGCAUUCCAACAUCGUUAGCUCCAUCGCCGAUAGCUAAUGUUGUUUUCCCGGUUCCAGAUUUGACCAAUCUAGUGACCUUUAAGAUAAAAAUUAGAUAAAUUAUUUCCUAUGAGGCACUCAUAAAGACACUAGACACAACCUUGACACCAGUAAUAAUAAUUUGAAAAGGAGAAUAAUUGUUUCUAAAAUGUAACCAUAUUUUUUAUCAGGACCAAUAUAUAAACACUGGAUCUUUCAAAAACCAAAAUAUAUGAACACAGGGUAGACUGAAAAAUACCAGCGCCUUCUGUUUUGGCGAUGAACGACAACAAAUAACAGAUGCACAACGAAUUGCAAGCUCGAGAAACAUGUUCUUCAUAUCAUCCUCAAGUGCAUAAGCAAGUGACUUCCCAUCAAUGAUUAGCGCAAAUGCCUGCUGAGAAAACCCUCUGUGUGCACUAAGCUGUGCAGCACCUUCACGUAACUGAGAGAGGACACUUUGCCUUGAUGUCUAAAAGAUGAAUCAACGAAAAAUCAGGAUACAAGUUUCCAGCUCUAUACAGUAUCAUCACAAGAACACUAACAUACCAUGAAAUCAUAGUGAAAAACUUAAAUCAUCAAUAAAGGUAAAAUAUACCAACUACCAAGCAAUAUAAAACAACUGAAAGUAUACCAGCUUGCACUGUCACCCUUGUACCCUUAGAAACAGAAGAGUAAUGCUAAGCUUAUGCAGUUACAGUAAUUCUUAAUAUCGCUUUACUAAACUGUUUUGUUCAGAAAACCAGAAUGGAAUCUAAGUUCAAAACGUCAGCAUUAUAAAGCAGAUUAAGCCGCCAUUUCUACUAUAAGAUAUGUUACUAGAAUAUUGCGAUGUUGAAGAGAACCAACUUAUAAACACGCUCACUGAAACUAUACAUUAUAUGCUCUAUAGUCUAUAUACAAGCUGCACCAUGUUAGAUAAAAAACUAUAUUAAGAGAUGAAGGUUUUUUUUACCUUGGUAAUAGCUAUUUUGUCGCCAUCUUUCUCCAGAGCUUGAAUUUCUGGAUUAUCCAAAUGAAUUAUAAUCUGUUUCAUUCCUUGUCUAAGCAAACUACAAGCAAAGCUGCAAUGGAGUAUUUGUGUCAGUUAACUUGAAAAGCAGAUCUCAUGAGGUGAAGCCUAUGUAGCACUGACACUUCACAUUGAAGGUGUGUCCCAUAUGCAACACCGACACGACAUACGUGAUUAGGUCAACUAUUUCAUUUCUUAAAUUAUAACUGGCGUUGAUAUGUCAGUGUUGUGUCCAACGUCUGUGUCAUUGCUUCAUAGGGUGAAGCCAUAGUAUAAAAAAUAAUAACAUUAAAUAUAAUACCCAAUAUUGAUAGCAGUUUCCAUUUUAUCCCCAGUCAAAACCCAAAUCUUAAUUCCUGCUUGGGCAAGCUUGUCAAUGCAAUCAGGAACCUUGCAAAAAAAAAAAGUGCAAUAUAAACAUGAUUACUAGUUCCAUUCCAAUAAUAAUCUUCACAAGUAAAACAUGAUUUUUUUUUUUUUUAUUAUAACUAACCCCAUCUUGGAGCUUGUCCUCUACAGCAGUAGCACCAAGAAGGAUUAGGUUCUUCUCAAUAUUAUCCGAUACUUCCUCAAUCAGUGUUUCCCGAUCUGCACUAACUAAAUUCUUGGCCUCAGAGAAUGUGUUAUCAAACUCCUUGUAUUCCUCUGCUGCAAGUUCACGAUAGGCGAGUAUAAGGGUUCUUAGACCUGCAUCGGCAUAUUCAUGCACAUGUUCCAUGGUUUUCUCUUCAAACUCCCUUCCAUUCUUGGCAAGUCUUUCAAACAUGACACUGCAUGAAAUAUCAAUUAAGGCUGGACAAUGAGUGAAAAACAAAGGACAUAAGUAAACAUUCAAAAUCAUUUAAGGGUACAGAUCAAUUUAUCACAAACCUAUCGGCACCUUUACAGAGUAAUAAAAUUUUCCCUUCGCCAUCUUGUACUAUUACCGACAUUCUCUUCCUUGAGCUAUUGAAUUCUAAAACAUUGAGAAUCUUGUACAUCCUGCAAAUUGAAAGUAGUUACUGAAAAACUGUAUCGUUGAGAUGAAAAAAAAUUCCAAAAAUUGUGGCUUUAACAACAUUUUAGAAGUACAAGCAUGAGUUAGUAUGUAUAAAGUGAAAAUCUUAAAUCCCAAACAGCAUAGUUAUGCAGGAAAUAAUUAAGGUUUGGAAAACCAUUGAACCAUUUUUCUCUCUCAAAACUUAGUUCUUUAAAACACCAUAAAGGUGUAAGGCAAAGGUACAAAGUGUACAAACUCACCUAUUCUAUAUGCAGCUAUAGGACCUGUUUGGAUUGGCUUUUUUGAAUUUAUCUACUAGCAUAAGUACUUGUGAAGCUGUUUGGUAGUGCUUAUGCAAACAAUUUUUCACCUGUCCAUAAGCUGUUUUCAGCUUAUUCCAUAAACUCUCCAGGAAACAUUAUGAAAACAGCUUAUCAAAUACAUAAAAACAGAAUGACUUUAUUUUAUAUUUUAUUAAUAAGUAGCUUAUACAAACAGUUUAGUCUACUUAAUUAAGUUGUUUAUCCAAACAGGGUUGUCUAGUUCUUUUAAUUAAAAAAUUCUUAUUGUCAUUAGAUGAUAAGCUGUUAUAAAAUGUAUAUCCGUCCUAAAGUUGUGUUUCCACGUGCAAGGAAAAUUGCAGCAGUAGCAGAAAAAUUCUAAGCAAUUGAAACAACUAACCUUUCAACUUUCUUGCCUGAAACUGGAUCCAACUCACAUGUCGAUAAACUGGUCUGAGCCCUUUUGAAGAAUUCAAAACCAAUUUCUCUCGCCGCAAUAACAAAUGCAGCUUCAUCCGGAGAUUCAGCCUCGUAGGAGACAUUUCCUGUCUCUUGAUCUAUUUCUGGUAUGGCUGUAUGACAUACGGCCAAUAGACGAAAAAACUUCUGGAUAACAUCUGCAUGAGGUUCAUUAACCCAGUUACCAUUCAUUAUUCUUUCAUCAGUAAAGUUAAAACUUUUAAUGGCUGCUUUUUUAUCAAGAGAAACCCUGAUGUGAUCUUCUUCAGAUAUAUCACACUCGUGAACUAACGAUGAACUUUUUCUUCUAUCCAUGGUUUUCUCAACUUCUGUAACACCACGACCAUAAGCUACACCAGCGAUCGAACAUUUGAUGAAUUCCAUCGAGUUGCAGGUCAAAGUUCCAGUUUUAUCAGAAAGUAUUGUGUCAACUUGACCGAGCUCCUCGUUCAAGUUUGAAGUGCGAGCAUGUGCCGGUUUGUCUGCUUCCUUGUAGUACAUAUGGAUAUCUUGAUUGAUGAAAAUGCUCUGAAGGACUUUUACAAUUUCUAUUGACACAUACAAAGAGAUGGGAAUAAAGAAACCAUACAACAUUAAGGCUGUCAAACAAUGAAAUAUAGCAGCAGCAGCCGGUCUUUUUGGAUCAAAGAAAAUUGUAGAGUCGUCAGGCCUUAAAUACCAUCUUUUCACCGAAUCGUUGUUCAAGUCAUCUUUAGUUAUAAAGCCAAAGAAAAUAGAUCCCACGGAUGCCAUUAGAAACAAAAUACAGAACAAGAAGUAAAUGACUCUAUCCAUCUUCCUCUCAACUCGGCUUCUUUUUGAAGGUGGAUCAGUAGAGUUCUGAAUAACCUUAGUCUCAUGACCAGUGAAGAUAACAGCUCCGAAAAUAUAGUCUGUAUUACGAAGUUUAGAGUCUCGCAGAAGAAGUUGCUGUGGGGAAAGGGCAUAGUUUUGACCUUCAAACUCCAAGCUCCCAACAAACGAGUACAGAUUUGCAUUUGGAUCUUCACAUUUGACAGUAGCUUUAAAUUUUUUGAAGUUGAGAUCCUCAUGUAAGGAAGAUGUUACCUCUAAACCUUGUUUUAGCUUCAAAUUUGUCUCGCCGUCUAAGUUCAUGGUCUCAACAUAGCAAACUGCAUCUUCAUAACUCGAUGAAAGCAAUAAGAGAUCCGCUGGGAAGAACUCAUUCUUCUCUACCUUCACUAUAUUUCCUACCCUCAGAUUCUUCCAUGCAGUAUAUUCAAAAAUGCCAUCAACUUUAUGAACUUUAACUCUUCUAUUGUUCACCUCAAUAUCCUGCAGAAGAAUCUUAUAUGUCACAAAUGAAAUAAAAAAAAAUGAAGGUACUAAAACCAUAUUACAGAGACUAAAAGCGUUACUAACUCAGUAUUUUAUCAUAUGCAGGGACAGUUAAAAAAUAUAAAAUCAGCAUUAGUAACCAUUGAUUAAAAAUAACAAUUUAAAUUUUCACAUAAUACAAGAAAAUCAUUGGCUCCGUCAAGUUUUUUUAGGGGUUACCAUUGGCAUUUUACGCUAUAAAGUGCACCCUGCAACUUAGCAGAUUCAAACAUUGAACAUAUACUGGAGUCACAUGAACAAAUAACGAAGUAAUUGCAGUUCUUCCUUUCGAAACAAUACCGAGAAACUAAACAGAAAAGCUACAAUAUUACAUAAGCUGCCUGCCAAAAUUUUACCUUUUGGUAAAGUACUUCAUGGCCUUGAAAAAAUACCACAAAAUUUUCAAUUAUUUACUGAUUGAUACUCUUUAAGCCAUUAAGUUUGGGUCGAAUUAUUUGAGCUUAUCUACAGGCAUAAACACUCGUGAGACUAUUCAGGGGAGAUUAUGAAAGAAUCUUAUGACAUGUCCAUAAGCUCUCUGGGAUAGCUUAUGAAAACAGAUUAUAGCUUAUAAGGAAACUAUUUUAUUUUAUUUUAUAUUUUGUUGUAAAAAUAGCUUAUGCAGAAGCACUAAUAUGAUAAGAACUUAAGCUAUACAUUCAUAACUAAGUUGUUUAUCCAAACAGAAAAGCUACAAUAUUCCAUAAGUUGCCUGCCACAAAUUUACGUUUUGGUAAAGUACUUCAUAGCCUUGUAAAAAUACCACAAUUUUUUCAAUUAAUUAAAUACUGAUAGUCUUUAAACCAUUAAGUUUGGAUUGACUUAUUUGAGCUUGUCUAUUUGCACAAACACUUGUGAGACUAUUCGGGAGAAAUUAUGGAAGCAGCAUAUGCCUCUCCAGGAUAGCUUACGAAAACAGCUUAUAGCUUAUAAGGAAACAAUUUUACUUUAUUUUAUCUUUCACCGUAAGAAUAGCUUAUACAAAAGCACUUAUAUGAUAAGAACUUAUGCUAUAAAUGCAUAACUAAGUUGUUUAUCCAAACAGAGCCUAAAUAAAUAAUUUAUCUCCCUUAUAUUUGUUUAACACUAAGUUAAAAGAUACUCAUAUCAUAUGUAUACAGAAUAUUCUGAUUCAUAUGGAAUCUCUCUCUCUACACACUUGUACUUCAGGAUAGAGAAGAAGGCAAAAAGUUUCAAAAGUAAACAGAAUCCACAACAGAAAGAGCUGGUAGUUAGAUAGAAUAUAGUACCUGCUUUUUCCUACGCCAAUCUUCAAUACCUUCUUUCACAAUAGUUGCUCCAAUAACAACAACAAGAGGAAGAAUAGCAGUAACAGCUCUAUAAGGAGCAAGUUUUGUGAAAGCCAAAACACCAGUAACCAAAAAAUAGAAAUUUGCAACUCUCCUAAACUGUUCAAAAAGUGAUUUUGGAAAGAAAGUUGCAGCAGUAUAUUUUGUAGAUCUAACAUAAUUAUCUGCAAAAUUCCUUAUCACAGCUUCCUCAGAAGCAGUAGCAGUAGUAGUAGUAGUAGUAGUAGUGUCGUGUUCAUUGCAUAACACCACUCUUGAAUAACCUUUACUACCAAUUUGUGAAUGAUCUCCAUCAACAGAACUUGCUUUGAAACAUGUGAAUGAAUAAAUCUUGCUUAAAUGUAGCUUCCUAUUUUUUCCACCCCUCAUUCUUAAGUCUUAACCACCCUUUUUUCAACAAAAUGAAAUUCAAUAUCAAGAAACAUAAAUUAAAAUAAGCUGAAAUAAUUGGUUUUUCAAAUUCCAAGUGUCACUGCCAAACUAGACUUAGUCAAAAUGGUAAAUUUCCAUAAACCCAAUUUCCAAAGUAUGGUCACUGACAUGAAUUAUAUCCUAAAAAUGCUGAGAGCUUCUUCAAAAAGCAAAAGAAAAAAAGAAAAAAAAAAAAAAACUACUUCCAAUUCCAACAACUACACAAUGCUAUCAUAUCAUAUCACAAACACCUCAUAACCCUAACCAAUAGCAGAAAGACCCAUUAAACAAAAAAACAAAUAAAGUAAAAGAUGCUAAACCCCAGAAAGGUUCCAACAAGAAAAUGCUCAAAAACCCUUAAUUUAAUCAAAAAAAUCAAAACUAUAAAACUAGUAAAAAUCCAAUCUUUAAAACUACCAAGAGAGAGAAAGAAGCGAUACACACAACUAUGAACCGAAUUAGGCCUGCAAAAUUGUGAAAUCUACAAUGAAAAACUGACACAAGACCAAAACAUAGGAUAGUGUCGGCAACAGAAAGUUCUAGAAGAGAAUGAAAAAACAAUACAAAAACUGCAGAUUUGAAUGAUGACAGUAUUGUCUCAAGAACAAGGUUUGAUCAAGCAUUUUGGGUAUAGAAAAGACAAGCAUUUCAUUUUCAGAACAUAAACUAUUCAUAUUUAGUUCAAUGUUUUUUUUUUCAAGAAAGUGGAAAAAAAAUACACUUUUUUUCCGGGAAAAUAAAGUGGGAAAAUGCUAACACAGAUUUCCACGUAAAACAGAUAGAACAAAGUUUUCUUUUUUCUCUCUUUUUCUUUAUCUUUAUUUUCGCGGGAAAAAGCUAUCAAUGAAGCUUUUUUUUUCGUCAAUGGUGGUCACCGAGAAGAAAUAGUGUCACUCUCAAUUUCUAUUUGUUUUUAUUUCCUAUUUAUCCAAAAAAAAAUAAAUCACAAUUAAUAAACCAAUAAAUACGACGACAUUUGAAUGAGAUGAUAAAAAAAUUUCUCUAAGAUACAACAAUGUUAAAUUUUUUUAAGUAAUUCUUUUACUAAUUUGAGUAUAACGAUGCUAGUUAAGAUAGAUAACAAAGAAAUAAUUUUUUGAUUAUAAAAAUGAUGAAAAUUAGUGUCGUGGCAAAUCAAAGUGAUGAGAGAAAGGACCAUCUAUAAAAACAUGUAAUAAAAGGACAGAAAGUGAUAUGAUUUUUUUUUUUUUUUAAAUACUACUAAAAAAUGAAAAAUUCUUACCAAUUCACCUAUUGAUUCAAUUUUUCAAUCUUAGAAGUAGAGAGAGGGCAGCACGUAUGCAUAUAGACAACAACGAUGUUUUCUUUAUUUAAAAGAUUAACAAGUGUUGAAGAUUCAAAGCCGACAAUACCUCAUAAACACAAUCUUGUUGACUUCAGGUUGGAUCCAGCCGAAAAGACUAAUCUUUCAUAACACGAUGAUUUGAGUUCUGAUAAAAAAAAUACUCAUAUAUAAUGUUCGAUAAUGCAUCAAAUAAAAUUAUAAGGACAGAUGUUUUUAUCAGCGGUAGUUGAGUGUGUUGAUGAACAUGAAAUGCGCCGUCAUGUAUUGUGUAUUCUAACAUGCUCAUGUUGUUUUUUGACUAGUCAUUCAUUUGAGUUGUUUGGAACCAAAACAUGUUCUCUUGUGUUCGGUUUUUCGUACCUAGUACCAUUUCCUAAAUAAAUUUACUGUUUUUUUCUCUACUUUAACUUUACUUUUUUUAUUUUUAGUAUCAAUUUAUACCCUAAAAUGCCAUCGUCAUUGAUUGUGUUUCAUAAAGGAAGGCUCUUGGAAACUCACUAGUUAAUUUACGUAGCACAUAGACACCUCUCAUUAAGUAUCAUUAAGUAUAUGGAACCAAUCAGUGACAAUUUUGUUAAUAAAUUGACCUAACAUUAAGUAUUAUUUCUAUUUUCAAAAAAAUAAAAAAGGAACAAAUUUUUAUUAAAGAAGUGAUGAAAAAUAGUGUCGUGACAAAUCGAAUUAAUGAGAAAGGACCGACCAUCCAUAAAAACAUGCAAUAAAACGACAGAAAGUGAUACACGGGUUUUCCCUUUUUAUCAAUAAAUAAAUUUGGGUAUUUCCUUUUUAUCAUUAAUAAGUAGAAGAAGUAUAAAUAAAUAAUGAAAAUAAAAUUAAAAUUUCUUAUGAAUUACCCUUUCAAUUCAAUUUUUUAAUCACAUAAGCAAAGAGGGAGAAAUAACACAUAUGCAUAGAGACUCAUUUUUCUUUUGACUCAAAAACAAUAUUAGGACCAAUGUGGUUGGAUAAAAAAAAAAAAAAAAGUCUUUUCUAGUUUUUUAAUGUGAUAAAUCAAAGUUUGAAUAAAUGAUACGAUCACCUUUAAUAUCCAACGAUUCAUCAAACAAGAGUAAUUUCGGUAAAAAGAAAUAAAAUAAAAAAUCUAUAUAAGAUCAGAUUUUUCAUUUUUGAUAAAAAAAAAAAAAAAAAAAAAAAAAAAACAAGAUUUGAGACAGUUUUGCGGUUCUAAGUAGAUGAGAUUUUAUACUAACUACGAAACACAUGAAGAAAAAGAUUUACCUCCUUUCAAUGACACCAAUGUUUUAGUAUGUGUUUGAUUCCCGAAUCUUCUUACAUCAAACACGCGUCUAACAUACCACUAAUCGUGAAAAUUGCGAAGCUAGUAUUUGGUGCUUCGAAAAACCGCGUGUCUGCAUAGCCCCACCGUGGAUCCAAACAGACUUGUAGUAUAAGAUUUUUUUACUAGUAAGUAGAUAAGUGUGUUGAUCAUGAACAUGAGAUGCGCCGUCAUGUGUUGUAUUCUAACAUGCUCAAGCAGUUUGUUGCCUACUCAUUUCAUCUGUGUUGUCUGUGAACAAAAACAUUUUCUCUUGUGUUGUUUUUUUGUUCCUGGUAUCAUGAAUAAAUUUACCUAUUUUUUCACUACUUUUCAAUAUUUCACUUUUUGAUUUUCGGUAUCAAUUUAUACUCUGAGAUACUGUCAUUGAUUGUUUUAUAAAGGAAGAUAACAGUAACUCAGCAAAAUUACACUUUUAGUCCCUUAACUUAAUUUCAGGUAACAGUUUGGUCCUUUAUCUUUUUUUCAUUUCAAUUUGGUCCUUUUUGUCCAUUUUCAUAUGAAUUUUUAAGCUUAAAAUUCAUGAUUUUAUUUUCUUAUGGUCUUUCAAUCUUCAAAUCUAUGAUACUCGUCUAUGUUUGCAUAAGAAUAUUAGAUUUAAAGCUUGAAAAUGUAUAUAAAAAUGGACAAAAAGGACCAAAUUAAAAUAAAAAAAAGAUAAAGGACCAAAAUAUUAUCUGAAAUUAAAUUAAAGGACUAAAAAUAUAAUUUUGCCGUAACUCACUAAUGUAGAACCGUAGGCAACUCUCUUCACCGAUUUUCCACAAAAAACAUUUUGGAGAGGAUUUUCCGCAGAUUUUAAAUAACUCAUUUAAUAGAAUAACUAAUGCACAAAAAACAUCUAAAUAGCAUUAAUAAAUAUACACAAUUAAUUAGUUCCUCAGAUCCACGUUCAGUGGCCAUUUGUUUAAAAAUAUUCUAAAGAUAAUAAAAAUAACCAAGUAAAUUAUCUCAAGUGUUAAAUAAGCUGCACCAAAGACAGGUCGUUCAGGGGAGCCUGUGUUCGAUUACCAGGUAGAACAAUUAUUGGCUAGGUUAGGGAGUGUUUUUUUAUUCUUGGCCAGGCUAGGGAGUGUUUUUUUUAAUUGUAUUAUUUAAUUAGUAAUAUAUCUACUCCUUUUUUAGUUAUCAAAUUAGCAUGAAAACUUUCAGAAAUCAUGUCUCCGUGAGUUUUGAUCAAUUGAUAAGGAUGCUGCAUAAUAUAUGUAGUGGCGGAGUUCGAACCACAAACACCUAAUUUAUAUUUACUAGAUUACUUAACAAAAAAAUAUUUCAACUUAUUUCUCGUUUUUAAAAUUCAAUGCAAUAUUUGUGACUGUUUGCAAUUAAUAUCACUCUUUUUAAUGGUGAGGAUAUGAGACAUAAUAUAAAUAAAUCAUAUCAUACUCAUAUAUGUUUGAUGCAUCCAUUGGACAAGAUACAUUAAUCAUCUUUUUAAUCCGAUUAUGAUGCGGAUUUGUAUUUUCCAUCAUGAGAAUAUGCUGAGGUUAGAAAUAACAUGAUAGGAUUAGAAAUAAAAGUACAUUUUUCAAAUUUUAUAAAUAAAUAAAAAAUAGUAAACAAUCUAAUAAUUAAUAAAACAACUUUUAAAAAAUCACUGGCACUACUAAAUAAAAAUAAUUCCAAAUUAGAAAAAAAAAAAAAAAAAAAAAAAAAAAAAAAGCAAUUUACCAACUAAAUAAAAUAUAUGAUACAUAUUGUAUGUAAUGACAACAAUUCCCUUAUAAGAACAUUAUGCUUUUUUUAGGAAAAGAACAUUAUAGUUAAGUUGUUAGAAAAAUAAAUUAAUAUUCAUGUUUUUAUAAUAUUAAUAAAAAAAAAUUUUGAAGGAAUAAGAUUAAUAAACUUAUUUUCAAGUAUUCUACUAUCCAUAGAUUUAUAAUUUUCUAGACAAUAUUAAAUGAAAAAAAUUAAUUAAAAAAAAAUCAUCCAUGUUUUCUUAAUUUAAAUCUUGUAUUUUUAUUUUUUUGAAUUUAAUAUCAAAUGCUGUUUUAUUUUUGUUUUUAAAACUUAAAUUUUAUCAUAUUUAUUUGUUUCAUAAUUUAUAAUAUUUUAUAAUGAUAAAUGUAUAAAUUAUUUUCUUAUCAUAUUUCGUUGGUUUCUAACCCAACUCAUAUCUAAGAUAUAAAUUUAAAUUAGAGAUGCAUGAUAUUAUAAGAUUCAAUAUUAACUUGCGGAGUAUAUUGUAUUGUCGACAAACCUUUCAUCAAGACAAAAUAUGAUACUCCCUCCGUCUCUAAUUAUAAGACCCUUUUGAGAAUUUUUUUUGUCCCUUUUUAUAAGACAUUUUUGUUAUUUUCAACUACAUUAAUUAUUUCUUUACAUACAUGCCUCUAUUUAUUAUACAUCUUUUUCUUCAAUCAACAAUAAAUAACAUGUUGAAAACAUAAACUAACCUUCUUUCUUAAAGGAUAAAAUUGUAAAAACAAUAGUGAUUACAAACAACUUUAAUACAAAUAUCCACUAUCUUAAUUCCCGUGAUUUUGGUAAAAGGGUCUUAUAUAUAGGGACGGAGGGAGUAUAUUUCUCUCAUGCCUCUUUUAUCUUGGUCAUUAAAUGAGUCAUUGAUUAUUUACCGCAAAGAGGAUAGAUAGAUAAAAUGAUAUUCCUUAAGACUUAAGUUAAGAGUUAAAACAUCAAAAGAUAAAAAAACCAAAGGAACACUGGGAGUUAUUCUUGUGUCACUUCCUAUGAAUGGAAACAAUAGACUAUAUUGAUCUCAUUAUAAUUUUUUUUGAGGAGUGAUCUCAUUAUAAUUGUCUCAUUUUAACUGAGCAUGAUUUUUGAGAAAAUAAGAGUAAUUGUGUUUAAUUUGACAAUGAAACGAGUUUCUUUUACUAAAUCGUUAGUGAAGUUAUUAGAAUGAUUGAGAUACAAAUAAAAAUAUAUUACAAACGAGACACUUAUAAUUAAACGAAGGAAGUAAUAAAGGAUUACAUCCUUUAGUCUCUAUUAUAAAUAAAAAUUGAUAUUUUAGAUUCUUCAAUAAAUAAUGUACGUAGUCUUUAAUAUAUAUCAAAUACAUCAUUUAUAGAAUAAACCUAAAAUAUUAAAAUUUGCUUACAAUAGUAAUCGGAUGGUGUAGUUCAAGUCUAAUCUCUAUUUCUACAAAUACUAUUUUUUAUUAACUGAGUUAAUGUAAAGUUCACAUAAGUUUAAAAGCAUGUGGACCUAUGAUAUUUAUUUACUUUGGUUAUAGAAGCAUCAGUGGGAUACUCUAACUCUCUAAAGGAAUAUAUCAUAUAUUGACAAUUGAGAAUAUAGCCAAAAUGAGAAGUCGUUUUUGUCAAUUAUAGGAUAAUUUAUAUAAGGUUUAUCCAUAUGGCCCUUUUGUCAUGUUUCUCACAAGAGACAGAAAUGCUAUCGCAAUUAGAACAUAUUUCUCUUUGAAACUUGGAUGGGAAAGAAUAAAAAGAUGAUCGAUGUAGAUAUUUAGAGUAAGAUAUUUAAUUUGUAAAGUGACAGCCAAAAAUUUAUAAUGAAAGAGAGUUGUUCAACAAACAUACGUAGAUCGGAUUUUGCAUGCAUCAGCACAUGAAUGUGAGACAAUUGCUUAAUGUUAAGAAUUAACAUAUAUGUAAUUGUAGUGGUUUGGAUGAGAAGAUUAGAUAAUUAGAUUUUUUUUUGGAGAGAGAUUAUAUUAGAUAAUUAGAUAUUCUACUAUACUAGCUAAGGUCUUUCAUAUUUACAAUUUUGUUCUUUCUCUCAAAAUAAAAAAAAAUAAAAAAUAUUGUUCUUAAACAAUACUAUUAAUCAAAUGAUCUGACCAACUUAACUACCAACUUAUGAUCAACUAGACAAUACCUUCAAUUAUAGGAUUUACUUAAUUGUUGUUCAUUUAUAGAAUAUAUAAUGUGUAUUUUUUUUCUCAACUACUGAUCUUUUUAAAUGAUUUUUUCAAUUAUUUUUACUUUAAAAUAUAUUUGUUUAUUUUUAUAUAAAAGUCAGAAUUUUAUUGAUUGAAAAAAAUAGCAUAACCAUUGAGGACCAAGCCUAAACCCAAUUAAUUACAAGUAAAACAAAAUUAGGUAAACCUAUUAAGUCUCUAACAUAGAAAGGCCUAACAAAUCUAGGUAAAGAGUUACCACCAUUGACCAUUAACAAGAUCAAUGCCAUGCUUAGCUAAAGCAUCAAUCCCAAGUUAUGUGUACAUAUACUAUUCAAGCUCUUAGCUACUUUGUAAACAAUUUCUCCGACUAGUUCUGUCUGAUUAUUCUCGAACCACCAUUUUCUCAUUAUUGAAUGCAAACACCAUAACUUGCGAGGCACUCAUUAAGUCGGAUACUAAGUUAGAAAAAAACGAUAUGAUAAAUUAGACUCAGACAUUAUUAAUUAAUGAUAAAGCCUUUUUUUUUGUUUUUACAAGAAUUAAUUGAAUAGGCCUUUUGCUCCUUUUUUUAGGUAAAGCAGGAGAGAGGACAGCAUUAAGGAGAAGCAACGACAUCCUAAUUAGGUUGGCACCCCGAUGAACUCCCAUCCCGCACCGCCACCUUUUGCUCCUUAUUCUUUCAAAAAAUAAAAAAAGAUUUUGCUCUUCGUAAUUAAAUUUAAAGAUAAUAAAAUAAAUUUUCUAUAUAAGUUAUCAAAUUGCGUACGUGCCUAAAAAAGGGUUGCCUGCGUAAGUGAUUUUUUAUUUUUUUUAGUUGAGUUGCCUACGACCUACGUAAGUGAUUAUCACAGCAUUUCGUUAAGACAUGUAUAAGUGAAAUAUUUAUAUCAAAUAAUGCGAUAAUUUUAUUUCACAACUGUACAUUAACUUAUUAAUGAAAAAGAUUGAUUGCAAGUUGCCAAAUUUUUUAAUCUUGACUUUGGUGAAUUAAAAACUCUAGUUGAGAGAAAACUAUCCACCUUGUAUAUGCCUUCAGAUUCUCAUAUAGAGAUUAGUCAACAUAAUGAUGUACACUUUGCAUCUAAUUUUAUUAUAUGGUCACGAAAAAAAACAAAAUUAUUUAUAUAAAUUUGAGUUAUAUCUUGGAUAUUGAUAUAUCUAACCCACACUUCCACACAGGGCCGUCUUAACAAAUUCAUAGGCCCGGUUUUAAUUUUAUAAGGGAUGCAAAAAAAAAAAAUCUGGGCCCCAAAAAAAUAAAUAAGUUAUUUAAAAAAAAAUAUAAUUAAAAAUCACACUUUGGUGGGUCUUGAACACAUGACCUCACACUCAACAAAAAAUAGCCAUGCCACUAAAGCAAGCUGUACAAAUUGAAUAAAUUUGCUUUUAAUAGAUAUAUAAUCAUUAUUUUCGUGUCUUACAUAUAAAAAAAAUAUAUUUUGGGCCCCAAAAAAUUGGAGACCCGGUGUCGUCGCCCAGCCUCGACGGGCUAUGGGCCGGCCCUGCUUCCACAUUAAGAUAGAAAGAGUGGUCAAGAAUGAUGAGAAGGCAACAAGAAAUUCAUGUGUGACUGGUUGAGCUAGGAAGGAUUCACUAGAACCAUUUGAAUUUUUGUAACGGUAAGAAUUCAUGUGUAUGUUUUUUUUUAUGCAACUUGCAAUAUGAUUUAAUUUCGAAAAUAAAUCAACUAUACUGAUUUUAUUUUUUUUAAAUCAAGUAUCUUCUGUGCGCGUAGCUGCAGAGACUAAUCUCUCGAGCUGAGUAAGAGUUUUAACGUUGUUGCAUGUGUAAGGUAGAUUCUAGCCCUGGACUUUAGUCAAGUUAAAAGAUAUCUAUGUCAUCUCAUGUAUCAUACUCGUCUAUAAUACAUGUUAAAAUAGUUCUUUUGAAUCACCUAAGUGGUAUGGUAAAAUGUCCAACCAUUUCACUCCCCGUUUUGAUCUUUUUGAUUGUAUGAUUUUAUUUUAUUUUUUUACCUAAAUUUAUGGUAUUAGGUAGUAUAUUCAUUUUGAUGUUAGGUGAGCAUGAAGUACCAUAUAUACAUUUCCAUAACCAUUUAUUCAACUAAUUAAUUUUACUAACUUGUUGACCAGCUGCUACUGGUCUAUUACAGUUUAGUAUAGUAAAAGAAAAUGUUAAUUUUAUGUUAAUUUGUUGUAGUCAGGUUCAUUCUAUUCUCAUAAUUUAUUAUUGGGUCUUGUUAACCAAUGUCCUUAGGGUACUAGUUAAGGAUUCAAAUAUAGAAAUAAUUUAUAAGUUUUAUGUAAAUAAAUUUACUUUUUAAACUUUCAAUAUGUCAAAUACAUUAUUAGAUAAAAUUUCCUUUUUAAACUUCUUAAUAUUUCCCUUUAUUAUUAUAUGAAACAUUGAGUAAUUAUAUAUUUGAAACCUUAUAGUUUUCCUUUGUUUUUCUCGAAAUAAUAUGGCUUGAUUGACUAAAAAAAAGUUGCUUGCUUGGUACAUAAUCUUUAACACAAAAUUAGACAUCAAUAUUAUAUAUUUGUAUAGUAAUUACCAACUUUUAUGUUACUUUUUCUCUAACCUUGGGCAUUUUUUUCUCUCUUUAGGUUCAACAUGACUCAUUCAUAUAGUGUUGAUUUUCGUAAAUGACACAGUUGAUGCAACAAUGGUUGAUCACUUAACAAAAAAACAUCAACCUCAAUCAUAUGUUUAGACCUUACACGAAACACUGGAUUGGAAGCAACAACCUUUGCACUUAGAUUCUCACACAACAAAAUUUGCAUGGUUUAUUAUUAAUGGGUUGAUAUAUCAGCUGUAUUAUUUAGACGAAUAAAAACUAACAUCAUAUUCCGACACUAUAUACGAAUGAGUGUGGACAUCAAAUAUGAGGAAAAAAAAUAUCCUAUAAGAGAGAACAAAUUAUAGAAAAUUUAAAAACCGUAUAAAAAUACAGGGUUGAUGUCAGAUUUUGUGUCAAAAAACAUUUGAUGAUUUUCAUUACAAGCAUUGCCUAAAGCUCGUGCUUGUUUCUAAUUACUGUUUAGAUUUGAUGAUUUCAACCAUAAUAUUACCACUCAAUUUCAUUGUAAGCCACAGGAAAGUAAUUUAUUAAUUGAAAACAAAGGCUAAGAUGUGUCUUUUGAUAGUGUUGUACAUGUACUAUCUGUACUAUAGUUGUCUCCAAGAAACACAUGACACAUUGUGACUUGUGAGUCUUUGUGCCUUUUGACCGUCUUGGUUAUAUCAAAAUUUCAUUUGAUUAUAGGCGAGUGAAUGCAUGUCGUGUAACAAAAUUCAAUCACCUCUAUUUUUUUGGUAAGAUAAACCAAAUAACAAUAAUCAUUCAUUCCUUCCUUUAAAAAAAAUAAAAAUAAAUCAUAAAUAGAGUAGUCUGGAUUUGAACCUUGGUCCAGCGUACAACCUAACACUUUCUUCAUUUAUCUUAUUUGAUUGAAUGUGUCGGAUAUUUUUGCAACAAAUCUAAAAUCUUAUAAGCAUCUUUUGAAAUUCUUUCUUUGAGGUCCAAAGAACUUUUGCAUUAUAUUGUAUAUUGUACUUUGUGCAAUUUAUAGUGUUAAAGUUAUAGUAAUUUAGUAUAGCAUCUCGUUUCAUACCUUUUCUAAACAUCGAAAAUGUCUUAAUGUUGAUUUGGAAUCUUUCCAUUCAUGAACAUCAACUUAUUAUUACUUGGACAUCAAGGUUGUUUUCAUAGGUCGACCCCAUAAAUUGUAAUUGAUUCCAUUCAUAUGAAGUGAACAAGAACAAUUCCUAGUACGGCUUGAGGGAUUUUGAGACUAAUUUGCGACAUUAAGAGGUUUGUGUUGCUUGAACAGGCUUUAUCCACAUGAUUGACGAUUAAGGAACAAUGCAUUGAAAUAGAGAAUAUAGAGCCAGAGACAUUUUCCACCCAAGUUUUAGAUCCAUGAAUUAUCUUUGGUUUCUCUUGGUAGAAAAACUUUCUCCACUCUCCAACAUGUUUUUUUCUUUCUUUCUUUCUAAUACAAAGUUUUAUUGAAUAGGGUCCGGUGGUUAACCAGAGUCAAUGUAGAUCUUAAUGUUCACAGAACAUUUACAAAUUACACAACAACGAAGUUCUAACUUUGAAUGUGAGAUUUGAAGUCACGUUCUUAUCAUAUAUGAAUCAAUUUCUUACAAACCGGAGCAAUCUGCGUAGAUCUUCAACAUGAUUUCAUAUAUACACAUUUUCUAUGGUUAAAUUCUCGUACAUUUGGUACGUACCAACAAAUUACGUUCAUUUAAAUAUCUUGAUGGUUAACAUAUAUUAAAUUUCACGUAUACAUUUCGUACUAGCUUGUAUAAGUUCACUAGAACAUUUUUUAUGGUUAAAGAUUCACAUACAGUUAAAUACACACAUACUAUUGUAUUUCAGUUGACGUAACAAGUUAGUUUUAGCCGCUUAAGUUCAUGUGCAUAGUGCAUAUAAAAUAUGACUAAUGUUAAGCUAUAAAUUUUAUUUCAUCGACGCUUUUGGUAAAUAAGAUUAAAUUAUUAUAAUUGUUAAUGAUAGAAAAUAAUUAUUUUUUCUUCAAAAAACAAUCAAUUUAAUUAUUAAUUUAAUGUUUGAUGUACCAAUACAUUCAAAAUAUUGAGUGUACCAUAGAAUUUGCCAAUUAACAUACACCGUAUGAAUUGAAUUUGCCUAGUGUCUGUAGAUUGCAUGAACUGAAUUUGCAUACGUGUUAACACGAGUUUCAAAUGUAGAAAAAAAAAAUAGCAAACAGAGAAAAAGGUCACUUGUAUGUAGUUAAUGAAAGAUAUUAAAUAGAAUGUAUAUAAGGUAGGGGUUCUUGGGCAUUAUUGUUAAAUAAUUUGUUUUAAAGGGGUGUAACUAGGAUGUUGCAUGGUGUAAUUAUAAAAAAUCUUGUUUUUGUGAUAUUGGCCUAUGGACGGUAUUUCCUUAGAUCAAGUCUUUCAAAAGCUUAUAGAGCCCAAUUUUUCAAUAUCUUUUAAAAGUGGCUCGAUAAACAUCUCAAUUUCGCUUCCGAUCGAGUUGUAACUUCCGAUCAAUUGUUUUUGCGUGUAAAAUCCAACUAGAUCGUAACUCCCGGUUGACUUUUUUCAGCUAAAUGAUGGAUGGAUGGUUAAAAUAUAUUGCAUAAACUAUUGCAAAUUUAUAGUUUUUUAAAAGAAAAUUUAAAAUAGAGGAGAAAUUGACCAAAUAUAUGCCACCUAACACUAUUCACACUCCUAUUUUUGUUAAGGUUCGUUUACAAUACAAAUAAGCAUACAUACCCUGUAUUAUUUGAAGUGAGUAUACCCUGUUAAUGUUAAGUACACGUAUUCUUUUUUCUAUCAUAAAUUAUGUCACCUCAUAAUCACAUUGGUACAUUGGAUCAUCAGAUUUUAACAUAACCAUGUCAUCUCAUAAUAUAAUAUAGUUCAUAUGUAGAUAUAAUUGGUAAAAUUAUGUUCUCACAAACAUCCAAACCAAGAGUUCUGAUUUCAUUGGCCCCUUGAUAUAUGCUUUUUCCUUUGUGGACAUUCUAUGUUUGAUUAUCAGUAGAGAUGUUACAACUACAAGAAGGUUACAUUUCCUCUUUCACCAUAUCAUCUACAUCUCUAAGUAUUACAUCUCAACCAAAUCACCUUAUCAUAAUACACAAACCAUACUCCAUAAAUAACAAGCUAAAACUUAUCAACCAAAUCAGUAAAAUCACAAACAUCUUCUUACAAUGGCUGCAGUGUUUUGGGCAUUGGCUUUAGCAAGCCUAUGCUACCCUCUAGCCUCAAUCAAUGCUCAAUCACAUGCAGCUGCACCAUCCAAUUUGCCAAUUACAACUUCACCGUUUGUAGCGAAACAACAACCUGUUGUGGCAGCAAUUUCUCCUACUUCUAACAAACCCACAGCCACGGUCACGGCAGCUGCACCAUCGAAGUUGCCAACCACAAAUCCAUCGGAACCAUCAACACUGCCAUUAUACAAACAACAGCCUAUUGUGGCUGCAACUCCUGCUAGUAAUACAAACAAACAACAGCCUAUUGUGGCAGCAACUCCUGCUAGUAAUACAAACAAACAACCUGCAGCAACUUCUCCUACUUCUAACAAACCCAUAACCACAGUCACGGCAGCUGCACCAUCGAAGUUGCCAACAACGAAUCCAUCUGCACCUUCCACAUUGCCCCUAGACAAACAAAAGCCUAUUGUAGCAGCAACUCCUGCUAGUAGUACAAAGCAACCACCAGCAGCAACCUCUCCUAUUUCUAACAAACCCUCGACCACGAUCUCAGCAGCAGCACCAUCCAAAUUACCAACUAUAAUCCCUGCUGCACCUUCCAAGUUGCCAACGGCAGCUUCACCAACUUCUAGUACACCAUCCGCUGCUAAAAAACCACCUAUUGUCGUAGCAACUUCUCCCUUGUCUAGCAAACAACCAACCACCACUCAACCGCCUACAACUGCAAAAUCAUCCCCUGUAAAAUCACCAGUUCCUAAAGUUACGUCUCCAGCAUCUUCCCCUGUGAAGUCACCAGUCCCCAAAGUCGCGACCCCAACAUCUGCUCCCGUGAAGUCACCAGUUCCAAAAGCUACGACUCCAACAUCUGCUCCUGUGAAACCGCCAGUUCCAAAGGUUGCAACUCCAACGGUUGCACCGGCUAAACCACUGGUUCCCAAAGUUACAACUCCAACAGCUGCACCUGUGAAACCAAUAGUUCCAAAAACUACAACUCCAACAUCUGCUCCUUUGAAACCACCAGUUCCGAAAGCUCCCGCACCAAAACCUUCUCCUGUGAAACCACCAGUUCCAAAAUCAAAACCUCCAACAACUGCUCCUGUCAAAUCACCAGUUCCGGAUCCUCCAAAACUCGCUCCUGUAAAGUUGCCAGUCCCAAAGGUUACACCGGCAUUAAGCCCAAAAACCCCAUCCCCUAAAAUUCAACCACCACCACAUCCACCCAAAAAAGCACCUGUUUCUCUACCACCAUUAUCUAUACCACCUGUUUCACUUCCACCAUUACCAUUACCACCAGCUUCUAAACCACCAAAGGUAUCCCCAGCACCUGCAAAGGUUCCAAAAGCACCAGCACCGGCCAAAGAAGCACCAGCACCAGCACCUACACACAAAAAGAAAGCACCAGCACCCGCACCAGACAAAGAAACACCGGCACCAGCACCUACACACAAAAAGAAGAAAGCACCAAAAUCAUCACCUGUUCCUUCCCCAGCAAUUCUCCCACCAUCACCUGCACCAACACCUGCAAUAGACACACCAUCAUCAGCAC
Molecule: long non-coding RNA, 30641 nt
Filed under: Medicago truncatula (barrel medic)
Lineage: Eukaryota; Viridiplantae; Streptophyta; Magnoliopsida; Fabales; Fabaceae
Description: long non-coding RNA (MTRU_LNC006403)
Source: RNAcentral